Molecule: long non-coding RNA, 2163 nt
Organism: Etheostoma cragini (Arkansas darter)
Lineage: Eukaryota; Metazoa; Chordata; Actinopteri; Perciformes; Percidae
Exons: 2
Source: RefSeq, a predicted model, not a curated record
CAGCUGGUUGAUAGAUGUAUCCUGUAAUGGAAGGAGGAGGUAAUGGGGGAAACAACAGAGCAGUUAGCUUGUGUGAUUGUCUGCAUUUCUGAGAAUACUUUGACGCCCCUUGGGUGUUCUCCAGUUGGCACUAUAUCUCCAGAGAUUGUAUUUGCUGGGAUGGAAUAACAGAGCAUUUGACUUUCCCAACCAGCCUUUCACUUGGCUGUGCUACAAUGGGUUUAGUGUUUGUUGCUUCUUCCAUAGCUGUGCUAGGGGCACAGCAGAUUGUAUAAACACAAGAAAAAGGCAGAUUCAGAAAAGAGAGCAAUAAAAAGAAGGAAUAUGAAGAACCACGGGGGAUGUGUAGAGGCUGCAGACGACCUUCCAGAGACAAGCUUUUGAAGUGGGAUUCACUUGAAGACAGUAGAGAUGGUGAGAGCAAAAGGGGAAGAUCAACAGAGUCAAGAGACAAGGAUGGCGAGAAGAGAGGAAACAAAUGGAGUUGUCAUCUCCAUGACAGAGCCAUGGAGAUGGAAGAGGUUGUUGUUUGUCAUCAAAGCCUUAAGGAUGGAUUAAAAGAUUGUGGAGGUUGACAGGGUGAGCAGAAAAAUGAUGGUUCCAAGUUGUCCUGGAUUUAUGAGGGCACAGCCAACAUCUCCAGACUCAUGGUCUCCCUCUCCUCACUGCAUUUGAUGGAUGGGUAGAUACUUCUGGACUACCCUGACAAAUUUCAGGCCACGAGGAGGCGUGUGGAGUCAGGGGGUGAGGACCCAUUGUCACACAACACCAGGGUGCAUGGGCUGGGGUACAUACAUUUGGAGAUACUGUUUUUUGUAAAGGUCUGAGUUAGGAAUGACAGGAAGAACGCCUGCACGAGUGUAGUGAACUCAAAGCAAAAUUCAACAUUUUGGAAAAUAAGCUUCACUUUACAGUGGAGAGAUGGAUAACCAGCUGGAUACUUGACAGGGAAAUAGGGGUGCUACAGCCAGAAUCCAGAUACAUACCACAGAGACUGAAAACAAGGGGGAAAUGCUAAUCUCCCUAGCAGCAGGCACUCAUCCUAUCUUCAGAACACAGUCCAAUGUUCCCAAAUGAUUUAGAAUCAUAUACCUUUUUACAGCAGACAAUUUGACUUUUUGUCUUCAGCCUCAACCAAUGCUGAAUAAAGUGACACUAGUUAAGGCAAUUUGUCAGAUUUCACAGAGCUCCAGCUGGCACCACAAAACAAGGCUUUAUACGACUUUUUUUCACGUAUGCAGUUGCAUUCCCCAACACGUGUUAACAGACAUUGAUGUGUACAAUCGGUAAAGUUCUCUUUUAGACUUUUACAGUCUCUUAGCACAAAAUGGCCAUGAUAUAUCUGUAAUUGCGGGUGUUAUUUUAAGUCAUGGCUCAAUAUACCAAUGACUCAACGGUUACUUCAGAGGGUGCUGAGAUACUUUGGCUUUAAAAACCCACUUUCAAGCCUCUGAUUUGGAAAUAACAUCCACAGUUUUGCAAUGAAGAGGACCAUGUGGGCUGAGUAGACCAGGUCAAACAUGAUUUGCAUCAUGAUAUCUUCUGUGGGUGUUUCUGUUGGAUUCUUGCUUACUCUAUUUGUUCAAUUGAGAACUCCACCAUUCUGUCUACUUCACUCCACAUUAAUCUGUUCCAGAAUCAAACUACUGAAUCCUUCUCUUUAAGUGACAGCGCGCUGAUGUGAUUGGAUGCGUCAGCAGGUGUCGAGGACGGACUGACAUGACCUCUGCUGAAGGAUGUUAAGUUGGCAUGCCAAGUUUUCACAGAAGGAAGAUCAAAUAGAAAAGUGAAACGAGGGAAAAAGAAAUAAAGGCUGGCGUCAAGAGCAUACUGAGCAGUUGACUGUGAAAAAUAGGGCAGGAGGAAAAUGGAGAGCAAGUCGAGUAAGAAGCAAGUCGGCGAGGCAUUAAAAGGGGAGGCUGAAAGCGAAGAUCAGGAGAGAGAGAAAGAGAGCGAGAGAAACUCAAAGAGCAGUCGAUUGUCACUAACAGCCCGGAGACACACACACACACACACACACACACACACACACACACACACACACACACACACACACAGUUGCCUGGAUAUGUAUGACUGCAAACAAAAGUAACACAAAGGGAGGGUGAACUGAGGGAGCCAGGUAAUGAGAAGAGCACACCAAAUGCAGGUUGAGAGAGAAAG